This 924-nucleotide non-coding RNA is filed under the name Dendropsophus oliveirai. RNAcentral's name for it is "partial 12S ribosomal RNA". It matches the Rfam family "Bacterial small subunit ribosomal RNA". Lineage: Eukaryota; Metazoa; Chordata; Amphibia; Anura; Hylidae. The record is from RNAcentral.
UGGUCCCAGCCUUGAAAUCAGUUCUUACUUAAUGUACACAUGCAAGUAUCCGCACUCCCGUGAAAACGCCCUUAACCCCUCCAAGGGGACAGGAGCUGGUAUCAGGCACAAAAAUUAGCCCAAGACACCUAGCUACGCCACACCCCCACGGGCCCUCAGCAGUGAUUAACCUUGAAAAUAAGCGACAGCUUGAAUCAGUUAAAGUAAAAAGAGCCGGCAAAUCUGGUGCCAGCCGCCGCGGUUACACCACGUGGCUCAAACUGACCCCCUUUCGGCGUAAAGCGUGAUUAAAGUAAACACCACAACUGCAAUUAAAUUAGGAUUAGGCUGUGGCACGCUUAUCCUCAAGAAACCCAAAAACGAAAGUCAUUGCAACCAUAACUUGAAUUCACGACAGUUAGGACACAAACUGGGAUUAGAUACCCCACUAUGCCUAACCGUAAACUAUUAAUUACACCACCAAUCGCCCGGGAACUACGAGCAAAGCUUAAAACCCAAAGGACUUGACGGUACCCCAUAUCCACCUAGAGGAGCCUGUCCUAUAAUCGAUAACCCCCGUUUUACCUCACCAUUUUUAGCCUUUCAGCCUGUAUACCUCCGUCGUCAGCUUACCUCGUGAGCGCCAACUAGUGAGCUUAAUGCCCAUUCGCCAAUACGUCAGGUCAAGGUGCAGCACAUGAAGUGGAAAGAGAUGGGCUACACUAUCUAGAAUAGAUAACACGAAAGACCACAUAUGAAACCUGGUCAGAAGGCGGAUUUAGAAGUAAGGAGGGACCAAACUGCCCCCCUUAACUCGGCACUGGGGUGUGUACACACCGCCCGUCACCCUCUUCAAAGCCCUUACCUAUAGUUAAUUACACAAUCCGGCAUCCUAGAAGAGGCAAGUCGUAACAUGGUAAGUAUACCGGAAGGUGUGCUUGGUAA